This is a non-coding RNA of Cerrena zonata, 73 nucleotides long. The record is from the annotation of a GenBank genome assembly. Lineage: Eukaryota; Fungi; Basidiomycota; Agaricomycetes; Polyporales; Cerrenaceae.
GGUCCCUUAGUGUAGCGGCUAUCACGUCUGAUUCACCCUCAGAAGGUCUCGAGUUCGAUCCUCGAAGGGAUCA